Molecule: unclassified non-coding RNA, 404 nt
Filed under: soil metagenome
Description: partial contains 5.8S ribosomal RNA, internal transcribed spacer 2, and large subunit ribosomal RNA
Rfam family: 5.8S ribosomal RNA (bases 1-121)
Source: RNAcentral
GAUGAAGAACGUAGCGAAAUGCGAUAAGUAAUGUGAAUUGCAGAAUUCAGUGAAUCAUCGAAUCUUUGAACGCACCUUGCGCCCUUUGGCUAUUCCGAAGGGCAUGCCUGUUUGAGUAUCAUGAACACCUCAACUCUCAUGGUUUGCCAUGAUGAGCUUGGACUUUGGGGGUCUUGCCGGCCUAUGGGUCGGCUCCUCUCAAAUUAAUCAGCUUGCCAGUGUUUGGUGGCAUCACAGGUGUGAUAACUAUCUACGCUUGUGGUUUUCCAUCAGGUAACCUUCAGUGAUGGAGGUUCGCUGGGGCUCAUAAAUGUCUCUACUCAGUGAGGACAGCUUUUUUGAACGUUUGAUCUCAAAUCAGGUAGGACUACCCGCUGAACUUAAGCAUAUCAAUAAGCGGAGGA